Molecule: ribosomal RNA, 247 nt
Filed under: uncultured bacterium
Lineage: Bacteria
Description: partial 16S ribosomal RNA
Rfam family: Bacterial small subunit ribosomal RNA
Source: RNAcentral
AGAUGGCGACCGGCGCACGGGUGAGUAACACGUAUCCAACCUGCCGAUAACUCGGGGAUAGCCUUUCGAAAGAAAGGUUAAUACCCGAUGGUAUAAUCAGACCGCAUGGUUUGAUUAUUAAAGAAUUUCGGUUAUCGAUGGGGAUGCGUUCCAUUAGGCAGUUGGUGAGGUAACGGCUCACCAAACCUUCGAUGGAUAGGGGUUCUGAGAGGAAGGUCCCCCACAUUGGAACUGAGACACGGUCCAA